AGCUCAGUGGCAGAGCAGGCGGCUCAUAACCGCUUGGUUGAAGGUUCGAAUCCUUUCGGACCCA
Molecule: transfer RNA, 64 nt
Filed under: Chloroflexota bacterium
Lineage: Bacteria; Bacillati; Chloroflexota
Description: Chloroflexi bacterium (anaerobic digester metagenome) tRNA-Met
Rfam family: tRNA
About the family: Transfer RNA (tRNA) molecules are approximately 80 nucleotides in length.
Source: RNAcentral